GCUCGGCCCGCAGCACCAGAGUCUCCGUCUGCAACGGGAAGCAAUCCAGUGUGAGAGACGUCAGAUAUCCCAUUUGCCUUCAGGCGAAAUCCAUGAGAUGCCAUAUUACGAUUGUUUGGAGUGGUUACUGCCCAAAGGAAAACAGUUCUGGGUGGAAUGAUUAUUAAUCUGCAAAGAUGCGAUAUUAAAAAGCCAAGAACAAUGGAUAUUUUCUGACUGGAGCUGUAACAGUAGGGGCGGACUUUAUAAGUUUAAUCACGAUAUUUUGUGGUAUAGUUGUGAUAACAAAAGUGACAAUAAGAUAUAUUUAUUGCUUCUUUUUUAAUUAACUGUAUGGCUGUGACUGCGUGGCACGACAAUUAUAGCCCCACAACCACAAAUACAGCUCUUGAAAAACAUGCAUUUGUAAUACGGUUCUUUAUUUUUUAAGCAUAAUUCAUUUUAAUUUACCGUGAGAACGAUAAAUCCAAAUUAUUAUCAUGAUAAGAAAUUUGUCUCAGUAAAAGAUAAAUGAUAUGGUAAAUGUAUAAGAUGCAGAAGGUCAGGUUGGACUUAUUAAAUUCAAGAGGGAAGAAUGAUCAUUCAGUUGGGCUUUUUGGUUACUUAAUAUGUCAGCUAGUUUCAGUAUUUGCUGCAUUAAAUAUAUUCUAACAA
Xiphophorus hellerii (green swordtail) is the source of this 654-nucleotide long non-coding RNA. RefSeq lists it as uncharacterized. NCBI's taxonomy places the organism in Eukaryota, Metazoa, Chordata, Actinopteri, Cyprinodontiformes, Poeciliidae. The record is from RefSeq and is a predicted model, not a curated record. The transcript is spliced from 2 exons.